This 172-nucleotide small nuclear RNA is filed under the name Anopheles culicifacies. RNAcentral describes it as "U4 spliceosomal RNA". The stretch from base 1 to 82 matches the Rfam family "U4 spliceosomal RNA". The record is from RNAcentral. Lineage: Eukaryota; Metazoa; Arthropoda; Insecta; Diptera; Culicidae.
AGCUUUGCGCAGUGGCGAUAUCGUAACCAAUGAGGUACAACCGAGGUGCGAUUAUUGCUAGUUGAAAACUAAAAACUAAUGGUAAUUUACCAGUCCUCACAGUCCACACGCAUUAUUUUCAAGCACAUCGUAGGUCAAUCUUCACUUAUUUUUCAAUUCUGUCAAUCAACAA